CGGGUACAGGUGCUUGGGGAUGUUACCGUCGAUGCCGAAGACGACGAUCCAGGCGGGCUCGAUCUUGGGCUAUGGCAGCCGGCGAACCCAUGACUAGACACGCUCUUCAUAGAGGAGGCCUAACUGGUUUUCUGGAAUUUAUUCCACAAUUAAAAAUAAAACUGACUAUAUAGUCAAGUUUAUGUGAAACGUCCCUGAAAAAAAAACUUCAUGUGAAACGACUGAAACGACCAACUAUCAGUUCGGAGAGAAUCGCGCGCAGAGUACUGCAGGCACCUUUUAGCAAUUGAAAAAAAAAACAAGUACUAGUAUAUUAAUAUACACCGUCGAUAACGAUGACC
RNAcentral lists this long non-coding RNA (341 nucleotides) under Brachypodium distachyon (stiff brome). Its description in RNAcentral is "long non-coding RNA (BDIS_LNC002931)". The record is from RNAcentral. Lineage: Eukaryota; Viridiplantae; Streptophyta; Magnoliopsida; Poales; Poaceae.